Molecule: small RNA, 180 nt
Filed under: Chelonoidis abingdonii (Abingdon island giant tortoise)
Lineage: Eukaryota; Metazoa; Chordata; Testudines; Testudinidae
Description: TUC338 (ENSCABG00000020909.1)
Source: RNAcentral
CUGAUAGUUCUGGAAAAGGGAGUCCUUUGUUAAUCACCAGAGCAGACACAGCCUGGGUGGCACAGCAAAACCUGUUUCUCUGCACUGCCCCACUAAUGUAUCUCAACCCAUUUCUGGAGGGACCACAUCUAGAGGUAAGGGGGGAGUUCAGUCGCCAUUCCCAUCGAGCCCUUGGCCUCU